CGAAAUAUAGCGCAGUGGUAGCGCGUCUGUUUUGGGAACAGAAUGGCAUGUGUUCAAUUCACAUUGUUUCGA
RNAcentral lists this transfer RNA (72 nucleotides) under Ulnaria acus. Its description in RNAcentral is "tRNA-Pro". It matches the Rfam family "tRNA". Rfam says of the family: Transfer RNA (tRNA) molecules are approximately 80 nucleotides in length. The record is from RNAcentral. Lineage: Eukaryota; Bacillariophyta; Fragilariophyceae; Fragilariales; Fragilariaceae.